RNAcentral lists this small RNA (45 nucleotides) under Arabidopsis thaliana (thale cress). RNAcentral describes it as "ATSL024270". Lineage: Eukaryota; Viridiplantae; Streptophyta; Magnoliopsida; Brassicales; Brassicaceae. The record is from RNAcentral.
AAAAAUUUAUUUGUUAAAAUGGCUGCAAAAAUAUAUAUGUAAAUA